RNAcentral lists this transfer RNA (81 nucleotides) under Acidimicrobiales bacterium. Its description in RNAcentral is "tRNA-Leu". It matches the Rfam family "tRNA". Rfam says of the family: Transfer RNA (tRNA) molecules are approximately 80 nucleotides in length. Their secondary structure includes four short double-helical elements and three loops (D, anti-codon, and T loops). Further hydrogen bonds mediate the characteristic L-shaped molecular structure. tRNAs have two regions of fundamental functional importance: the anti-codon, which is responsible for specific mRNA codon recognition, and the 3' end, to which the tRNAs corresponding amino acid is attached (by aminoacyl-tRNA synthetases). tRNAs cope with the degeneracy of the genetic code in two manners: having more than one tRNA (with a specific anti-codon) for a particular amino acid; and 'wobble' base-pairing, i.e. permitting non-standard base-pairing at the 3rd anti-codon position. RNAcentral also lists the same sequence under 2 other names. Lineage: Bacteria; Bacillati; Actinomycetota; Acidimicrobiia; Acidimicrobiales. The record is from RNAcentral.
GCGGGCGUGGCGGAACGGCAGACGCGCCGGGUUUAGGUCCCGGUCCCGAGAGGGGUGUGGGUUCGACUCCCACCGCCCGCA